This 595-nucleotide long non-coding RNA is filed under the name Nicotiana tabacum (common tobacco). RNAcentral's name for it is "long non-coding RNA (NTAB_LNC008913)". The record is from RNAcentral. Lineage: Eukaryota; Viridiplantae; Streptophyta; Magnoliopsida; Solanales; Solanaceae.
UUUCAUCAACUGUUAAUGGUGUUGGAAUUGCAAAGGGCGAUAUGCAAUUGAUUCUGAUUCCGUUCUUGCAUAGCUCCGGUGUUACAGAUCUCAUAAUUCCGAUUAUGCAGGAUUUGGAUGUCGAAUAUGUGAAUGGCGCUAGACCUCCCAUUACACCAGUAACGCUAGCUGUGCACAAAAUGGAACCGGUUUGUCGCGGAAUCAUCACCCGAGCGGCGUGCUUGAUUCCUGCCACCACACCUCCUACGUUAAUAGCCAUGACGCGGUUGAAUGCACCGAGGUCAAGGUCCAUGAUGCUUGGUGGAGUACUACAUGCAAUGCCUUAACAGAGACGGAUUAAGAAUUUAGUAAAAGGAAAAGUUCAAGUUCGAUUAUUUAUUGAGGUGUAAAAGAUAUUUAAAAAAAUAAAAUCAAUAAUUAUGUCAUAUGUAAACUGUUUUAUCCUGUAUUGGCCUCUGAUUAUACCUGCAUUGUUGUACAUUAUGUCGAGCUGUCCGUGGCUAGAGACGGCGAAAUCCACGGCGUUGGAGAUGUCGGAUUCUUUGGAUACAUCACAGACCACAAAGGUGGCGUUUGGUCCGAGCUCGGAGGCUGU